Molecule: non-coding RNA, 226 nt
Filed under: Desulfovibrio sp. 86
Lineage: Bacteria; Pseudomonadati; Thermodesulfobacteriota; Desulfovibrionia; Desulfovibrionales; Desulfovibrionaceae
Source: RNAcentral
UUGACAUUUGACGCGCCCUGUUGUCCUGUAUCCCUUUGGCGGGGAAUUUCGUGCAAGUCGAAAACAGUCGCGCUGCGGUAAGAGGGGACAAGGUUUCUUUUCGCCUGCUCAGGAUGGGCGGCGUUUGACAGCCAAUCGCGCAAGCGGUGAAGGCGAAACCAAGGCGCUGGCCCUGCGGCCACACAGCCCUCAAGUCCGAACACCCGCCGGGGCCACAGCCCUUUUG